This 74-nucleotide transfer RNA is filed under the name Actinomycetota bacterium. Its description in RNAcentral is "Actinobacteria bacterium (freshwater metagenome) tRNA-Gln". It matches the Rfam family "tRNA". Rfam says of the family: Transfer RNA (tRNA) molecules are approximately 80 nucleotides in length. Their secondary structure includes four short double-helical elements and three loops (D, anti-codon, and T loops). Further hydrogen bonds mediate the characteristic L-shaped molecular structure. tRNAs have two regions of fundamental functional importance: the anti-codon, which is responsible for specific mRNA codon recognition, and the 3' end, to which the tRNAs corresponding amino acid is attached (by aminoacyl-tRNA synthetases). tRNAs cope with the degeneracy of the genetic code in two manners: having more than one tRNA (with a specific anti-codon) for a particular amino acid; and 'wobble' base-pairing, i.e. permitting non-standard base-pairing at the 3rd anti-codon position. Lineage: Bacteria; Bacillati; Actinomycetota. The record is from RNAcentral.
UCCCGGCUCGUCCAAUGGCAGGACAAGAGACUUUGGAUCUCUGAAUGGGGGUUCGACUCCCUCGCCGGGAGCCC